Molecule: ribosomal RNA, 451 nt
Filed under: uncultured bacterium
Lineage: Bacteria
Description: bacterial SSU rRNA
Rfam family: Bacterial small subunit ribosomal RNA
Source: RNAcentral
AAUCAACGCUGGCGGCGUGCCUAACACAUGCAAGUCGGACGUGAAAGGGGUUUCGGCCCUGAGUAGCGUGGCGGACGGGUGAGGAACGCGUGGGUGACCUGCCCUGCAGAGGGGGAUAACCCUCCGAAAGGGGGCGUAAUACCGCAUGAGCCCGAGAGGGGAAAGGACGGUGAGUCGCUGCGGGAGGGGCCGUGCGUCCGAUUAGCUGGUUGGUGGGGUAAGAGCCCACCAAGGCGACGAUCGGUAGCCGGUCUGAGAGGACGGACGGCCACACUGGGACGUGAGAUACGGCCCAGACUCCUACGGGAGGCAGCAGUGGGGAAUUUUGGGCAAUGGGCGAAAGCCUGACCGAGCAACGCCGCGUGAGUGAUGAAGGUUUUCGGAUUGUAAAGCUCUGUCUUCCGGGACGAUAAUGACGGUACCGGAGGAGGAAGCCACGGCUAACUACGUG